CGAUAAUUAAAAAAGGAAAAGAAACCGUACUUUUACAUUCGUGAAAUCCGGGGGGGAAAAUGUAGGGAAUUUGUGAGCCUACGGUGGAGAAAUGUCAACAUUGCUGCGCAUUUCGUGCGUGCACGAAAUCAGAUAUCAGAUAUCACGGUGCGUUCAUCCGAGUCGCACGGUCUCUAGGUUGCUAAUCACCGCGCCUCUAAUGCCAUUCGUCACAGUUUCCACCGUUGGAUAGGUCAAAUCCUCUCCUGUCCAGGAUGCAGUAGCUACGGCACGUAUAUCGCAGCUAAUUCGACAAUACGGUAAACUGAUAAGCGGUCGAGCUUGAAAGGUUAGACACGAAACGGAGCUCUUCCGAGACGAAACGUAGAGACGGGAAUAUAAUCGGCGCCCUGAAUUGUGAAUAGUGAGAUGGAUGGUAAAGUGGACGAGGAGAAUCAACGUAGCAUCAAUGACGGUGACUGGGUCUGUCCUGACUCUCAAUGUGCCAAUGUAAAUUUUGCCAGACGAAAUUCCUGCAAUCGUUGUGGAAAAGACAGAAGUGAAUGCCCAAAGAAGAAAAAAUUGGGUCAAGAAAUUGGAAAAGCAGCUGCAGAAAAGAGCAGAGGCCUUUUUAGCGCGGAUGAUUGGCAAUGUAGCAAAUGCGGUAAUGUGAACUGGGCUCGCCGACAGCAAUGUAAUAUGUGUAAUGCUCCAAAAUUUGGUGAGAUAGAGGAACGCACAGGAUAUGGAGGUGGAUAUAACGAUCGAGGAGUUGUUGAAUACAAAGAAAGGCGGGAUGAGGAUGAUGAGUACGACGAGUUUGGACGACGUAAGAAAAAGCGGAGACUUGAAAAGAAUUCUGAUGAUGAUUCCAAGGAUUCCAAAUACAGCAGCCCAUUGCGUAGUAAAUCUAAAGAUAAGGAGGAAAGGGACGAAGUAGAUGAAGAGGAACAAGAAGAAAACAUAAACGAGGAUGAAGAGGAAGAUGACGAGGAGGAAGAAGAAGAUGGUGAUUUAUCUAAAUAUGAUCUUAGCGAAUGGGAUGAUUUUGUGCCAGCAAAAAACAGUACGAAUGGAAGUACAAUGUCGUCAGCAGCGCAACGGUCAAGGUAAUUAAUAGCGAAACGGAGAUGAUCGGCGUGAUUCAGGCACAUCCAAUCAAUGAAAGGCGGUACAGAAGGACAGGUUAACAGGAGACUCGGAAAGAGACGCAACCAGUUCUCGGCAACUAAGAAAUAUACACAACGCAACAAGAUUUAGUAAUUUAGUAUGCACCUUUGGAUAUAUAAAGUGGCCGAUAAUAUGUGACUUAUUACAAAGGAGUCGACUCUAACAAUAAGCUUUACAUUUAUAAUUGAGCUCAUAGCUUCUCGUUGAUCGUAGGGAAGCAAAAUGUUAGGUCUUCUAUUUGCGCGGGUAUAUCGUUGUUCGAUUAGCAGAAUUUACGACGGACAUACUUGGGCGCAAGUAGUAUGUUUUGCUAGAGUGAAAUACAAGAUUGAUAAUUCCAACAUGAAUCUAUAGAAGAAAUUAUACACACAGAGCUCGUUUUACAAGUUAAAUAUGUGACGUUGUAGAAAAAGAUCUUACUCCUAUGUAAUAUAGAUGGUGUUAACGCUCUGCGCAAGCCCCGUCGCCGCAGUGUUCUAAGAUUUCCAUUACUUUUAUCACAAACGUAAAAUAUGUCGAUGUGUCACUCUGCUUUGUAUUGCUCAAGCUGCUGGGAGGAAAAACUAAUCAAUUUUUUUUUCUUUUGUCCCCUUGUGUCUCUCUCUCUCUUUUUACGUCAUAUUUCAUCUAUACAUAAAUUUAUGCAGAUUAAAUAAAUACACUCAUAAAAUAUAGUAUUAAAAAAAUCAUUCCCCAAAACAAAAAAGCAGAUAUAUUAUUUUUAUUUUUUUUCUUUUUGAAAGAGAGACGGAAAAGAAAAAGUACGUUUUCUUGCUUUGAUUAUCACAGAUCCGAGUAAAUUGAUAGAAAAAAAUAGCUUGUGCUUAUCCUUGAGAACAAAAAUUAUAAGAGGUUUUUCUAUUCUUUAAAUCAAUCCGCAUUUUAUGGAUUUGUCGCAAACUCCGAUGGCUGUUCUAGAAUCGUAAAAUCGACUAUCGAUCAAAUCGUACUGACUUCUUGUAAAUAUCUUUAUUUUUCAUUUAUAAUAAAAAUCAUUCAUCAACAACAUAAUUGUUCUUAGUCAAUUACUUCUUAUGUCGUAAGCUACAGAUAAAGGGAAGAGGGAAAACAGGUAAAGG
RNAcentral lists this unclassified non-coding RNA (2228 nucleotides) under Camponotus floridanus (Florida carpenter ant). Its description in RNAcentral is "zinc finger Ran-binding domain-containing protein 2, transcript variant X4". Lineage: Eukaryota; Metazoa; Arthropoda; Insecta; Hymenoptera; Formicidae. The record is from RNAcentral.